RNAcentral lists this ribosomal RNA (404 nucleotides) under uncultured prokaryote. RNAcentral describes it as "bacterial SSU rRNA". It matches the Rfam family "Bacterial small subunit ribosomal RNA", at positions 355 to 774 of the family's 1533-position model. The record is from RNAcentral.
UGGGGAAUAUUGCACAAUGGGCGAAAGCCUGAUGCAGCAACGCCGCGUGAAGGAUGGAGGCCUUUGGGUCGUAAACUUCUGUCCUUGGGGAAGAAAAAAAUGACGGUACCCCUGGAGGAAGUCCCGGCUAACUACGUGCCAGCAGCCGCGGUAAUACGUAGGGGGCGAGCGUUAUCCGGAAUUAUGGGGCGUAAAGAGUACGUAGGUGGUUUUUUAAGCGCAGGGUUUAAGGCGAUGGCUAAACUGUCGUGCGCCCUGUGAACUGGAAGACUUGAGUACAGGAGAGGAAAGCGGAAUUCCUAGUGUAGCGGUGAAAUGCAUAGAUAUUAGGAGGAACACCAGUGGCGAAGGCGGCUUUCUGGACUGUAACUGACACUGAGGUACGAAAGCGUGGGGAGCAAACA